AAAUAUCCUGGUGGGAAGUCUUUUGUGGGUUAGGAGCCAAAUGAAGUAUUUUAUCUUGUUUGAGGUUUGUAGUUUCCAGAUCCACUUAAAGUGGUCCACUUCCACAUGAGAGUAAUCUUGAGCACUUUUGUUUAUGAGGGAGUAUGCAGAAUUAUUGAAAAACUGCACAUUGGGUGUGAAUACCCCAUAUUAGUGUAUCAUCCUUAAUGGUUAUACUUGGAAGAAACACAGCCUUCAGAAUGUUUUGGAUAUGGGGAGGGAGGUCAAAUGACAUGGCUGGUGUGUCCCAAGUUCCCUUAUUGUGCACUGUCUCCACCAUAAGUUGAAGGUCAUUUUGGGUUAAGGGUCCCUCCAGAUAGGGGAUUUGUUGUUCCCAUGGUGUCUCCCAGCCUGGGUAGGUUUGUACAUAGUACAAUUUUUGUGGAUAAGGGCUCUAGCCCAAAGUCAAUUGGUAUUCUUGUAGGAUCUCCAUGCCAGGUUUGCUAAAGCAACUUUGUUUUUAAAGUUUGCUUUUUGCAGCCCUAGCCCUCCCCCAACUUUAGUUUUAGUGACUACCUCCCACUUAAUCAUAUGAAGUUUUCUCUUUUCAGGAGUGGUG
This 598-nucleotide long non-coding RNA is filed under the name Nicotiana benthamiana. RNAcentral's name for it is "long non-coding RNA (NBEN_LNC022332)". The record is from RNAcentral. Lineage: Eukaryota; Viridiplantae; Streptophyta; Magnoliopsida; Solanales; Solanaceae.